UAAUAGAAGACCAACCUGGAUGGGCAAGGA
Molecule: non-coding RNA, 30 nt
Filed under: Rattus norvegicus (Norway rat)
Lineage: Eukaryota; Metazoa; Chordata; Mammalia; Rodentia; Muridae
Source: RNAcentral